Non-coding RNA from Chrysemys picta bellii (western painted turtle), 568 nucleotides. NCBI's taxonomy places the organism in Eukaryota, Metazoa, Chordata, Testudines, Emydidae. The record is from RefSeq and is a predicted model, not a curated record.
CACACUCGGGACCUGGCUCUUUCCUGAGGAUGUUGGGGGGUGUGUGCGGGGGGACGUGGCUCAGGCUCCUGAUUGCGCCAUCACUUCCCGCACAGCAGGAAGCGAGUCAGAGCGUCCGCGCCACCCAGCCCGUCUGGACCCCGAGGUACCGACCCCCAGGUCCCUGUGACACACCCGGGCUCAGAUAUCCGUCCCCCCUGCCCAGGGAGCUGGGAAGGCGGCUCCCCACCCCAUACCAGGAUCUGUGAUUGAGCAGGCUGCUUCACCAGGAGCUGAGAGCAGAGUGCCCUGCCCAGAACCCAGGCUGCACCAAGGCCCACCCUUAACCCCCCAGCAUGGCACGCCGGCCGGCCACACCCCAUGUCUGGAUUUGACGGCUUCCAGCACAGCAGCGCCUCCCCAGUGGCUCCCCAUGAUGCUCUCAUCCAAUGAGACGACGGGCCACACCCACUGACGGCCAGUGGCCAUAAAGGAGAAAGCUGAGUGGCAAGGGGUAGAGCACAUAGUUGUCCUUCCCAGCCAAUUGGAUUGUUUCCUUGACUCUCGCUCCCCGAAGCCUGCGUGCAUG